This 346-nucleotide ribosomal RNA is filed under the name uncultured bacterium. RNAcentral describes it as "bacterial SSU rRNA". It matches the Rfam family "Bacterial small subunit ribosomal RNA", at positions 9 to 341 of the family's 1533-position model. The record is from RNAcentral.
GAGUUUGAUCCUGGCUCAGGACGAACGCUGGCGGCGUGCCUAAUACAUGCAAGUCGAGCGGGAUGAUGAAGAAGCUUGCUUCUUCUGAUUUUAGCGGCGGACGGGUGAGUAACACGUGGGCAACCUACCUUGUAGAUUGGGAUAACUCCGGGAAACCGGGGCUAAUACCGAAUAAUCCAUCUUGCUUCAUGGCAAGAUGUUGAAAGGCGGCUUCGGCUGUCACUACGAGAUGGGCCCGCGGCGUAUUAGCUAGUUGGUAGGGUAAUGGCCUACCAAGGCGACGAUACGUAGCCGACCUGAGAGGGUGAUGGCCACACUGGGACUGAGACACGGCCCACGACUCCUA